RNAcentral lists this transfer-messenger RNA (366 nucleotides) under Demequina litorisediminis. It matches the Rfam family "transfer-messenger RNA". Rfam says of the family: Bacterial tmRNA, also known as 10Sa RNA or SsrA, is named for its dual tRNA and mRNA-like properties. Its role is to liberate the mRNA from a stalled ribosome. Lineage: Bacteria; Bacillati; Actinomycetota; Actinomycetes; Micrococcales; Demequinaceae. The record is from RNAcentral.
GGGGAUGAUCGGUUUCGACGUGUGUGCUUUCCUCAGGGGAAGCGGGCCGAGGACGUCACGUUAUCUCGUUAACGCUCGUGGCAAACCAAUAGGUGCCGAUUCCAAGCGCACCGACUUCGCCCUCGCUGCCUAAGCGAGCCCCGAAGUCCGUCAGCCCAGGCUAGAUCCCGACCUGGUCCCUGGCGUCAUCUAGGGAACUGGCUCCACUCCUUCGUCGACGGGGGUGGGGGACUCUUAGUCGACUGGGGCUAUCGCACAGGCUCGUCUGAAGGUCGUGCGGGUCCGAGACAAUGAGCAUUCAGACUGCGCCCGGAGAAUACCUGUCGUCGUACAUGCGGACGCGGGUUCGAUUCCCGCCAUCUCCAC